This 1275-nucleotide ribosomal RNA is filed under the name Salmonella enterica subsp. enterica serovar Isangi. RNAcentral's name for it is "partial 23S ribosomal RNA". It matches the Rfam family "Bacterial large subunit ribosomal RNA", at positions 1 to 1298 of the family's 2925-position model. The record is from RNAcentral. Lineage: Bacteria; Pseudomonadati; Pseudomonadota; Gammaproteobacteria; Enterobacterales; Enterobacteriaceae.
GGGUUGUGAGGUUAAGCGACUAAGCGUACACGGUGGAUGCCCUGGCAGUCAGAGGCGAUGAAGGACGUGCUAAUCUGCGAUAAGCGCCGGUAAGGUGAUAUGAACCGUUAUAACCGGCGAUUUCCGAAUGGGGAAACCCAGUGUGAUUCGUCACACUAUCAUUAACUGAAUCCAUAGGUUAAUGAGGCGAACCGGGGGAACUGAAACAUCUAAGUACCCCGAGGAAAAGAAAUCAACCGAGAUUCCCCCAGUAGCGGCGAGCGAACGGGGAGGAGCCCAGAGCCUGAAUCAGCAUGUGUGUUAGUGGAAGUGUCUGGAAAGGCGCGCGAUACAGGGUGACAGCCCCGUACACAAAAGCGCAUGUGCUGUGAGCUUGAUGAGUAGGGCGGGACACGUGGUAUCCUGUCUGAAUAUGGGGGGACCAUCCUCCAAGGCUAAAUACUCCUGACUGACCGAUAGUGAACCAGUACCGUGAGGGAAAGGCGAAAAGAACCCCGGCGAGGGGAGUGAAAAAGAACCUGAAACCGUGUACGUACAAGCAGUGGGAGCACAGGUUUACCUGUGUGACUGCGUACCUUUUGUAUAAUGGGUCAGCGACUUAUAUUCUGUAGCAAGGUUAACCGUAUAGGGGAGCCGCAGGGAAACCGAGUCUUAAUUGGGCGUUAAGUUGCAGGGUAUAGACCCGAAACCCGGUGAUCUAGCCAUGGGCAGGUUGAAGGUUGGGUAACACUAACUGGAGGACCGAACCGACUAAUGUUGAAAAAUUAGCGGAUGACUUGUGGCUGGGGGUGAAAGGCCAAUCAAACCGGGAGAUAGCUGGUUCUCCCCGAAAGCUAUUUAGGUAGCGCCUCGUGAACUCAUCUCCGGGGGUAGAGCACUGUUUCGGCUAGGGGGUCAUCCCGACUUACCAACCCGAUGCAAACUGCGAAUACCGGAGAAUGUUAUCACGGGAGACACACGGCGGGUGCUAACGUCCGUCGUGAAGAGGGAAACAACCCAGACCGCCAGCUAAGGUCCCAAAGUCAUGGUUAAGUGGGAAACGAUGUGGGAAGGCCCAGACAGCCAGGAUGUUGGCUUAGAAGCAGCCAUCAUUUAAAGAAAGCGUAAUAGCUCACUGGUCGAGUCGGCCUGCGCGGAAGAUGUAACGGGGCUAAACCAUGCACCGAAGCUGCGGCAGCGAACGUAUCACCCAAGACAACUUUACGGAGUUGACGAUUGACGGAGCGAAGCGACGUCAAAGCGUUCAUUAAAGUCGAGUUGGCUUAGGGAUACGUU